AUUGAACGCUGGCGGCAUGCUCUACACAUGCAGGUCGAACGGUAACAGGCCGCAAGGUGCUGACGAGUGGCGAACGGGUGAGUAAUGCAUUGGAACGUGCCCAGUCGUGGGGGAUAACUACUCGAAAGAGUAGCUAAUACCGCAUACGAUCUAUGGAUGAAAGCGGGGGACCGUAAGGCCUCGCGCGAUUGGAGCGGCCGAUGUCAGAUUAGGUAGUUGGUGGGGUAAAGGCUCACCAAGCCAACGAUCUGUAGCUGGUCUGAGAGGACGACCAGCCACACUGGGACUGAGACACGGCCCAGACUCCUACGGGAGGCAGCAGUGGGGAAUUUUGGACAAUGGGCGCAAGCCUGAUCCAGCAAUGCCGCGUGCAGGAAGAAGGCCUUCGGGUUGUAAACUGCUUUUGUACGGAACGAAACGGCUCUGGUUAAUACCCGGGGCUAAUGACGGUACCGUAAGAAUAAGCACCGGCUAACUACGUG
This 482-nucleotide ribosomal RNA is filed under the name uncultured bacterium. Its description in RNAcentral is "partial 16S ribosomal RNA". It matches the Rfam family "Bacterial small subunit ribosomal RNA", at positions 30 to 507 of the family's 1533-position model. The record is from RNAcentral.